GGAUUAGAUACCCUGGUAGUCCACGCCGUAAACGAUGUCUACUAGCCGUUGGGGCACUUGAUGCUUUAGUGGCGCAGCUAACGCGAUAAGUAGACCGCCUGGGGAGUACGGUCGCAAGAUUAAAACUCAAAUGAAUUGACGGGGGCCCGCACAAGCGGUGGAGCAUGUGGUUUAAUUCGAUGCAACGCGAAGAACCUUACCAAGACUUGACAUCCUGCGAACUUUCUAGAGAUAGAUUGGUGCCUUCGGGAACGCAGAGACAGGUGCUGCAUGGCUGUCGUCAGCUCGUGCCG
Molecule: ribosomal RNA, 293 nt
Filed under: uncultured bacterium
Lineage: Bacteria
Description: partial 16S ribosomal RNA
Rfam family: Bacterial small subunit ribosomal RNA
Source: RNAcentral